UGAGCUGAUGUUGCUUUAUUCUUAACAGAGCCUGGGGUCCACAGAUGAAGACCCAGAAAUAUACUUUUCCUGUGCCAGUGACACCCAAGAGGAGGAGCAGGCUGAAGAGCCCUCGGCAAUAGUCAUCCGGCCAGGCUCACCUUGUGACACGUGUCCAGUAGACAGCCCCUGUUCCUCCACAUCCAACGCUGAUGUUGAACAAGCUGUAAAAAUGCUCCUUCUAAACUUAACAUUGAUGUAUUUUUGACUUUGUUUUACUCGAUUGAGCUGAUGUUGCUUUGUUCUUAACAGAGCCUGGGGUCCACGGAUGAAGAAGACCCAGAGAUACAUUCUUCCUGUGUCAGUGACACCGAACAGGAGGAGCUGGCUGAAGAGCCCUCGGCAAGAGUCCACCAGCCAGGCUCACCUUUGGGUGUCGCAGGUCACCAGAGCCCAAAGUGUCCUGCAUUGGCCGGAGAAGUGGACACGUGUCCAGUGGACAGCCUCUGUUCCUCCACAUCCAGAAUUGAUGUCGAACAAGCUGUAAAAAUGCUCCUUCUAAACUUAACAUUGAUGUAUUUUUGGCUUUGUUUUACUCAAUUGAGCUGAUGUUGCUUUAUUCUUAACAGAGCCUGGGGUCCACGGACGAAGAAGACCCAGAAAUACAUUCUUCCUGUGUCAGUGACACCGAACAGGAGGAGCAGGCUGAAGAGCCCUCGGCAAGAGUCCGCCAGCCAGGCUCACCUUUAGGUGUCACGGGUCACCAGGUACAUUUUUCUCUUUUGAUAGAGAAAAAUUAACACCAGUUCCCGAUGUUUCACAUGGACCCUGUCUCCUCUUCCAACAAACAGAGCCCAAAGUGUCCUGCAUUGGUCGGAGAAGUGGACACGUGUCCGGUGGACAGCCUCUGUUCCUCCACAUCCAGUAGUGAUGUCAAACAAGCUGUAAAAAUGCUCUUUCUAUUCUUAACAUUGAUGUAUUUUUGACUUUGUUUUAUUAGACUGAGCUGAUGUUGCUUUAUUCUUAACAGAGCCUGGGGUCUACAGAUGAAGAAGACCCAGAGAUGGUUUCUUUCUGUGUCAGUGAAACCCACCAAGAGGAGCAGGCUGAAGAGCCCCCGGCAAUUGUCGACCGGCCAGACACACCUUUAGGUGUCGCAGGUCACCAGGUACAUUUUAAGAGUUAUUUUGGCUUUGCCUUUAACUAACAGACAUUUGAGAACAAGGAUGAGGAAGACUCAGAAAAGCUUUCCUACAUCUAAGCAGUUUAGUUGUAACAUCCUUUUAGGCAGAAGCUGCAGCUGAGCAACCUGUAGAGGGAAGCACAAUGGAAAUAUGGACAUUAGUGUGCUGUAAUGACCACUUUACUGCUAUUUUUACAACAGGGUGCAACAAGUUCCAGUGAUAAGGAAGAAGAGAACUCAUCCUCAUUAACUAAAAGGAUUUCAGACAUCCUGGCUGUAAGAAUCAGCAAAAUUCUGACUGUUAAAAAGGACUAUCCAUCAG
RNAcentral lists this long non-coding RNA (1484 nucleotides) under Takifugu rubripes (torafugu). Its description in RNAcentral is "lncRNA (ENSTRUG00000031746.1)". The record is from RNAcentral. Lineage: Eukaryota; Metazoa; Chordata; Actinopteri; Tetraodontiformes; Tetraodontidae.